Molecule: long non-coding RNA, 507 nt
Filed under: Pan troglodytes (chimpanzee)
Lineage: Eukaryota; Metazoa; Chordata; Mammalia; Primates; Hominidae
Description: long non-coding RNA NONPTRT005917
Source: RNAcentral
CUACACUCAGAAUAGCCUGGCUGCUUCUCUGUCUCCGAGACCGGAGGGAGUGGGAACCAACAGCUGGGCUGGAGAGUUGGUGCUGGCAAAACAGUCCUUCCCCUGGGGCCGGUUCUUACCCAGGUCCAGAGAAACCAACGCGGGAUGUCAGACUUCACCAAAAGGACUUUCUGGUUGCCCCUGGCUGGCUUCCUGGAGGCGUUCGCCUCUAGUUUCUCAGGGAUGGAGCGAGAGCCCAGCCAGAGAACAGUAAGAGGAGCUGCUCUCCUAUCUGCACUCACCCAGGCCUUCACCCAGACUUUACCACUGAGGCGGCUGAGUGCAGCUACAGCUAGGUCCGCGUCCCUCACUCUUUUCAUCUUCUGCACGUUCUUCGUGAAACUGGAAGGAUCCCAGGUCUCAGCCAGAACACGGUGGAAGAGAACUUUCCUAGGAAACGGUUCAUGUGUCACUUUUCAGGAUGUGGAAACACUAUUCUGGAACGGAACCCCAGCCCUUCCAGGUCUG